RNAcentral lists this ribosomal RNA (720 nucleotides) under Bacillus thuringiensis. Its description in RNAcentral is "bacterial SSU rRNA". It matches the Rfam family "Bacterial small subunit ribosomal RNA", at positions 63 to 763 of the family's 1533-position model. The record is from RNAcentral. Lineage: Bacteria; Bacillati; Bacillota; Bacilli; Caryophanales; Bacillaceae.
CGAGCGAAUGGAUUAAGAGCUUGCUCUUAUGAAGUUAGCGGCGGACGGGUGAGUAACACGUGGGUAACCUGCCCAUAAGACUGGGAUAACUCCGGGAAACCGGGGCUAAUACCGGAUAACAUUUUGAACCGCAUGGUUCGAAAUUGAAAGGCGGCUUCGGCUGUCACUUAUGGAUGGACCCGCGUCGCAUUAGCUAGUUGGUGAGGUAACGGCUCACCAAGGCAACGAUGCGUAGCCGACCUGAGAGGGUGAUCGGCCACACUGGGACUGAGACACGGCCCAGACUCCUACGGGAGGCAGCAGUAGGGAAUCUUCCGCAAUGGACGAAAGUCUGACGGAGCAACGCCGCGUGAGUGAUGAAGGCUUUCGGGUCGUAAAACUCUGUUGUUAGGGAAGAACAAGUGCUAGUUGAAUAAGCUGGCACCUUGACGGUACCUAACCAGAAAGCCACGGCUAACUACGUGCCAGCAGCCGCGGUAAUACGUAGGUGGCAAGCGUUAUCCGGAAUUAUUGGGCGUAAAGCGCGCGCAGGUGGUUUCUUAAGUCUGAUGUGAAAGCCCACGGCUCAACCGUGGAGGGUCAUUGGAAACUGGGAGACUUGAGUGCAGAAGAGGAAAGUGGAAUUCCAUGUGUAGCGGUGAAAUGCGUAGAGAUAUGGAGGAACACCAGUGGCGAAGGCGACUUUCUGGUCUGUAACUGACACUGAGGCGCGAAAGCGUG